CAGCCGCCGCGGGAAUACAGAGGGUGCGAGCGUUAAUCGGAUUUACUGGGCGUAAAGCGUGCGUAGGCGGCUAAUUGAGUCGGAUGUGAAAUCCCCGAGCUUAACUUGGGAAUUGCAUUCGAUACUGGUUAGCUAGAGUGUGGGAGAGGAUGGUAGAAUUCCAGGUGUAGCGGUGAAAUGCGUAGAGAUCUGGAGGAAUACCGAUGGCGAAGGCAGCCAUCUGGCCUAACACUGACGCUGAGGUACGAAAGCAUGGGGAGCAAACAGGAUUAGAUACCCCAGUAGUCCCUGUCUCUUAUAU
RNAcentral lists this ribosomal RNA (301 nucleotides) under uncultured bacterium. RNAcentral's name for it is "partial 16S ribosomal RNA". It matches the Rfam family "Bacterial small subunit ribosomal RNA", at positions 509 to 809 of the family's 1533-position model. The record is from RNAcentral.